AGGACGACCUUCCCAUCAUGGAUCAACACCGGGACGACCCGG
RNAcentral lists this small RNA (42 nucleotides) under Maritimibacter alkaliphilus HTCC2654. RNAcentral's name for it is "mini-ykkC.2008-01-16 RNA". The record is from RNAcentral. Lineage: Bacteria; Pseudomonadati; Pseudomonadota; Alphaproteobacteria; Rhodobacterales; Roseobacteraceae.